GACGAACGCUGGCGGCGUGCUUAACACAUGCAAGUCGAACGGAAAGGCCCUGCUUUUGUGGGGUGCUCGAGUGGCGAACGGGUGAGUAACACGUGAGUAACCUGCCCUUGACUUUGGGAUAACUUCAGGAAACUGGGGCUAAUACCGGAUAGGAGCUCCUGCUGCAUGGUGGGGGUUGGAAAGUUUCGGCGGUUGGGGAUGGACUCGGGGCUUAUCAGCUUGUUGGUGGGGUAGUGGCUUACCAAGGCUUUGACGGGUAGCCGGCCUGAGAGGGUGACCGGGCACAAUGGGACUGAGGUACGGACCAGACUCGUACGGGGGGCAGCGGUGGGGAGUAUUGCACAAUGGGCGGGAGCCUGAUACGAAGGCGCCGCGUGCGGAAUGACGGCCUUCGGGGUGUGAACCGCUUUCGCCUGAGACGAAGCGUGAGUGACGGUACUGGGUGAAGAAGCACCGGCUAACUACGUG
RNAcentral lists this ribosomal RNA (468 nucleotides) under uncultured bacterium. RNAcentral describes it as "partial 16S ribosomal RNA". It matches the Rfam family "Bacterial small subunit ribosomal RNA", at positions 28 to 507 of the family's 1533-position model. The record is from RNAcentral.